This 153-nucleotide microRNA precursor is filed under the name Schistosoma japonicum. RNAcentral describes it as "microRNA sja-mir-307 precursor". Its record names the gene sja-mir-307. Lineage: Eukaryota; Metazoa; Platyhelminthes; Trematoda; Strigeidida; Schistosomatidae. The record is from miRBase by way of RNAcentral.
AGAAACUCCUCAUAAAGAAGGUUGUUUGAUGUAAUAUUCAAUAAUUAAUAAUAAUUAUUAUUAUUAUUAUUAUCAUUUCGAUGAAAUAAUAAUAUAAAGAAGAUGAAUAUAAAAUAACUUACAUCACAACCUACUUGAUUGAGGGGCACUUCG